Molecule: microRNA, 22 nt
Filed under: Malus domestica (apple)
Lineage: Eukaryota; Viridiplantae; Streptophyta; Magnoliopsida; Rosales; Rosaceae
Description: mdm-miR10978b
Source: miRBase by way of RNAcentral
GUUGGGAAUCGAAGCAUCACGA